UACAUGCACACGACGACGUUGAAAGUAUAAUUCUAGAGUCGGAGCAAAAAUUCCAAUUUCAUCAACUUUGCAGUAGAAGUAACAUUGUCAAUUCAUUCACAAAAAUCUCAAUUAUCUUAUCCAGGCAGGAGACUUAACAUAAUAUUGAAAUGUCAAUUGUCAUGAUGGUCCACACGAGGAAGGCAACAAAACUAUGCUCGACAAUACAUGAAUGAUGAAGAAUGCAUUACAUUCAAAUAAGUUACCGAUAUGUCAUGGUUGGUUGCUCUCAAGAGUAAAGUCAC
This 284-nucleotide long non-coding RNA is filed under the name Citrus sinensis (sweet orange). RNAcentral describes it as "long non-coding RNA (CSIN_LNC003227)". Lineage: Eukaryota; Viridiplantae; Streptophyta; Magnoliopsida; Sapindales; Rutaceae. The record is from RNAcentral.